Long non-coding RNA from Ictalurus punctatus (channel catfish), 267 nucleotides. Lineage: Eukaryota; Metazoa; Chordata; Actinopteri; Siluriformes; Ictaluridae. The record is from Ensembl.
UAUUUAUUUAUUUAAACUUCCCUUUCUACUUAUGACCGCUCUAGAGACAUUACAAAGAAAAAUAAAGCUUGGAAAGAGUUAGCAGAGUUCUUUGAGAUCCUCUGUAAGACGGUGAGAAGGACACGGGCACUUUCCCGAGGCGGAGUCGGGGGUGGAGGGGUGAAGAGAGGAGGCAUGGAGUGUGACGUGACCUUCUGCCACCAAGAGGAAAGAGAGACUAUGAUUGCAAGUGGACAAUACAGCUGUGUGUGUGUGUGUGUGUGUGUG